Molecule: microRNA precursor, 59 nt
Filed under: Triops cancriformis
Lineage: Eukaryota; Metazoa; Arthropoda; Branchiopoda; Notostraca; Triopsidae
Description: microRNA tcf-mir-10305 precursor
Source: miRBase by way of RNAcentral
UUCUACACCUCGCAAUAUCGUCUUUGAUGUUGCGGUGAUAUAUUGCGAGGUGCAGAACU